CUACAGGCUUAACACAUGCAAGUCGAGGGGCAGCAUGGUCUUAGCUUGCUAAGACUGAUGGCGACCGGCGCACGGGUGAGUAACACGUAUCCAACCUGCCGUCUACUCUUGGACAGCCUUCUGAAAGGAAGAUUAAUACAAGAUGGCAUCAUGAGUCCGCAUGUUCACAUGAUUAAAGGUAUUCCGGUAGACGAUGGGGAUGCGUUCCAUUAGAUAGUAGGCGGGGUAACGGCCCACCUAGUCUUCGAUGGAUAGGGGUUCUGAGAGGAAGAUCCCCCACAUUGGAACUGAGACACGGUCCAAACUCCUACGGGAGGCAGCAGUGAGGAAUAUUGGUCAAUGGGCGAGAGCCUGAACCAGCCAAGUAGCGUGAAGGAUGACUGCCCUAUGGGUUGUAAACUUCUUUUAUAAAGGAAUAAAGUCGGGUAUGCAUACCCGUUUGCAUGUACUUUAUGAAUAAGGAUCGGCUAACUCCGUGCCAGCAGCCGCGGUAAUACGGAGGAUCCGAGCGUUAUCCGGAUUUAUUGGGUUUAAAGGGAGCGUAGAUGGAUGUUUAAGUCAGUUGUGAAAGUUUGCGGCUCAACCGUAAAAUUGCAGUUGAUACUGGAUAUCUUGAGUGCAGUUGAGGCAGGCGGAAUUCGUGGUGUAGCGGUGAAAUGCUUAGAUAUCACGAAGAACUCCGAUUGCGAAGGCAGCCUGCUAAGCUGCAACUGACAUUGAGGCUCGAAAGUGUGGGUAUCAAACAGGAUUAGAUACCCUGGUAGUCCACACGGUAAACGAUGAAUACUCGCUGUUUGCGAUAUACGGCAAGCGGCCAAGCGAAAGCGUUAAGUAUUCCACCUGGGGAGUACGCCGGCAACGGUGAAACUCAAAGGAAUUGACGGGGGCCCGCACAAGCGGAGGAACAUGUGGUUUAAUUCGAUGAUACGCGAGGAACCUUACCCGGGCUUAAAUUGCAGAUGAAUUACGGUGAAAGCCGUAAGCCGCAAGGCAUCUGUGAAGGUGCUGCAUGGUUGUCGUCAGCUCGUGCCGUGAGGUGUCGGCUUAAGUGCCAUAACGAGCGCAACCCUUGUUGUCAGUUACUAACAGGUUCCGCUGAGGACUCUGACAAGACUGCCAUCGUAAGAUGUGAGGAAGGUGGGGAUGACGUCAAAUCAGCACGGCCCUUACGUCCGGGGCUACACACGUGUUACAAUGGGGGGUACAGAGGGCCGCUACCACGCGAGUGGAUGCCAAUCCCCAAAACCUCUCUCAGUUCGGACUGGAGUCUGCAACCCGACUCCACGAAGCUGGAUUCGCUAGUAAUCGCGCAUCAGCCACGGCGCGGUGAAUACGUUCCCGGGCCUUGUACACACCGCCCGUCAAGCCAUGGGAGCCGGGGGUACCUGAAGUGCGUAACCGCGAGGAGCGCCCUAGGGUAAAACUGGUGACUGGGGCU
This 1438-nucleotide ribosomal RNA is filed under the name uncultured organism. RNAcentral's name for it is "SSU rRNA". It matches the Rfam family "Bacterial small subunit ribosomal RNA". The record is from RNAcentral.